This 261-nucleotide ribosomal RNA is filed under the name uncultured prokaryote. RNAcentral's name for it is "partial 16S ribosomal RNA". It matches the Rfam family "Bacterial small subunit ribosomal RNA", at positions 524 to 784 of the family's 1533-position model. The record is from RNAcentral.
UACGUAGGGGGCGAGCGUUGUCCGGAAUGAUUGGGCGUAAAGGGCGCGUAGGCGGCUGUGCAAGUCAGUAGUGGAAGCCCAGCUUUUAAGGUUGGAAGUGCUAUUGAAACUGUGCAGCUUGAGUGCAGGAGAGGUUAUCGGAAUUCCCGGUGUAGCGGUGAAAUGCGUAGAGAUCGGGAGGAACACCAGUGGCGAAGGCGGGUGACUGGACUGCAACUGACGCUGAGGCGCGAAAGUGUGGGGAGCAAACAGGAUUAGAUA